This 341-nucleotide unclassified non-coding RNA is filed under the name uncultured Mortierella. RNAcentral's name for it is "sequence contains ITS2". Lineage: Eukaryota; Fungi; Mortierellomycota; Mortierellomycetes; Mortierellales; Mortierellaceae. The record is from RNAcentral.
AACGCAUAUUGCGCUCUUUGGUAUUCCGAAGAGCAUGCUUGUUUGAGUAUCAGUAAACACCUCAAAGCUUUCCAUUUUUUGAAAAGCCUUGGACUUGAGCGAACCCAACACCUUUCUAUUUCAGAUCGGCGGCGGGUUGCUUGAAAUGCAGGUGCAGCUGGACAUUCUCCUGAGCUAAAAGCAUAUUUAUUUAGUCCCGUCAAACGGAUUAUUACUUUUGCUGCAGCUUACAUAAAGGGAGUUUGACCUUAUUGGCUGACUGAUGCAGGAUUUCACAAGGGUCGGCAACGAUUUUUGUAAAACUCGAUCUCAAAUCAAGUAAGACUACCCGCUGAACUUAA